GAGUUUGAUCCUGGCUCAGAGCGAACGCUGGCGGCAGGCUUAACACAUGCAAGUCGAGCGGGCGUAGCAAUACGUCAGCGGCAGACGGGUGAGUAACACGUGGGAACGUACCUUUUGGUUCGGAACAACUGAGGGAAACUUCAGCUAAUACCGGGAUAAGCCCUAACGGGGAAAGAUUUAUCGCCGAAAGAUCGGCCCGCGUCUGAUUAGCUAGUUGGUGAAGGUAAUGGCUCACCAAGGCGACGAUCAGUAGCUGGUCUGAGAGGAUGAUCAGCCACACUGGGACUGAGACACGGCCCAGGACUCCUACGGGAGGCAGCAGUGGGGAAUAUUGGACAAUGGGGGCAACCCUGAUCCAGCCAUGCCGCGUGAGUGAUGAAGGCCCUAGGGUUGUAAAGCUCUUUG
RNAcentral lists this ribosomal RNA (405 nucleotides) under uncultured microorganism. RNAcentral describes it as "bacterial SSU rRNA". It matches the Rfam family "Bacterial small subunit ribosomal RNA", at positions 9 to 437 of the family's 1533-position model. The record is from RNAcentral.